CCAGACUCCUACGGGAGGCAGCAGUGGGGAAUAUUGGGCAAUGGGCGCAAGCCUGACCCAGCAACGCCGCGUGAAGGAAGAAGGCUUUCGGGUUGUAAACUUCUUUUGUCAGGGACGAAGCAAGUGACGGUACCUGACGAAUAAGCCACGGCUAACUACGUGCCAGCAGCCGCGGUAAUACGUAGGGAGCGAGCGUUGUCCGGAAUUACUGGGCGUAAAGGGCGCGUAGGCGGGAACUUAAGUUAGAUGUGAAAACUCCGGGCUUAACCUGGAGACUGCAUUUAAAACUGGGUUUCUUGAGGGCAGGAGAGGAAAGUGGAAUUCCUAGUGUAGCGGUGAAAUGCGUAGAUAUUAGGAGGAACACCAGUGGCGAAGGCGACUUUCUGGACUGUACCUGACGCUGAGGCGCGAAAGCAUGGGGAGCGAACAGGAUUAGAUACCCUAGUAA
RNAcentral lists this ribosomal RNA (448 nucleotides) under uncultured bacterium. Its description in RNAcentral is "bacterial SSU rRNA". It matches the Rfam family "Bacterial small subunit ribosomal RNA", at positions 331 to 793 of the family's 1533-position model. The record is from RNAcentral.